This is a long non-coding RNA of Mustela lutreola (European mink), 1412 nucleotides long. RefSeq lists it as uncharacterized. Lineage: Eukaryota; Metazoa; Chordata; Mammalia; Carnivora; Mustelidae. The record is from RefSeq and is a predicted model, not a curated record. The transcript is spliced from 4 exons.
CCCCCCACCCGCCCCCCACUAUUAAUUCUUUCUCGGGGUAGUGGGAGGGGAGGCACCCGUAGGACGGCGGGUGGACGCGGGGCUUGCAAUGGGCCCGCGUAGAAACUUGAGUGGCUCUGUGGCCGCUGAAGGCCCCCGAACUGUGAGCCUUGGCAGAGGGACUAGGUGUGCGCGCCGGGCGGAGCGGCGCUGGGUGAAGGUGGGAGGGCCCAGUCCUAAGGCCAAGUGCGCUGGGAAGGCAAACGGGGGAGUUGGAGAAACGAGCUGAAUGCCAUAGGGACUGGUGUUCUACCUCGUGGAACUGCUGGAAGAAUCAGAUGAGAUACUGUGUGUCAUUAGCGUCUUCGUCUUACAGCUGAGGAAUCUGGGGCACAUAGAAGCCUCCAGCGAGAGACUGUGCUGUGUCCACCUGUCAUCUGAGACUGAAAAGCAUUGCCAUCCCGUGGGCUAAGAGGAUGGUGGGACCACAUCACGGAAGGACCUGAGACCCCGAUUGACUACGUGGAGUGGAACUGUUCAGCCCUGCAUCCCGCCAACCUGAACUGACCUGUCAAGGAAGUCAGAAACAAAUUUUCAUCCUGUUAAUGCAUUAAAACUUUGGGUUAUUUGUCCCAGUAGUUGGCCUAUCCUCAUUACUGCAAGAGAGAUGUAAACAUGCGGACUAUCCUGGGCAGCAAUGAAGUGGUUCUUCUUCCCCUGACCCGGCAGUGUGGGAAGGUUGUUGCAGAGCUCUCUUACUGGCUUCCGAUGCCUUUUAAAAAUUACUGGUGAGUGUGAGAGACACUCUAGGAUCUCAAGUCAGCAACAUGCUCCAGAAAAUAACGCUCGUGAAGGCGGCUGAGUUGCUAGUGAUUUAACUGAGUAAAUAAACAGCAUAGGAAAAAAAGAUCCCAGUGAUUGCUGGGGUGUGUACUCAGUUAGGGGUCAGGUGUGGGAGGUCAAACUGGAGCAAUCUGGAAAGCUUUUCUAUGUGUCCUGCCCCUCCAAAGCUAGAAGAAAGGAAGCUAAAGCAGAUACUGAUUUGAUGGCACCUUCUUUCUUCUAGCAGCAGUGUGUGAUGUCCUUCUGUUUCUUCAGUGAAAAACUCUAGGGGAAAGGGAACUCAGAAUGAGAUCAAGAUAAACUUUCCCAGGAUCUCUGGGAUGCUGAAAGUGACUGCGGUGUCUCCGUGGGAAUCUGAAUGAAACCGAGGGUCAUCCACAGUGUAUCUGUAUCUUUGGACUGUAUUUUGUUUAGACAGGGAACAAUCUAGUCAGUGAUCUAUACAUUCACCCCCAGUGGCCAUUUGGGUUCCUUGCCCCGCUGCCUUCCUGGGGGAGAAGGAAGAUAUUUAUCCUCCCACAGGGUUUGUUUCUUUGCUUUAAUAGAACACACUGAUCUCGAAACAAUAAAGCCAGUUACAGAUUAACUGA